Megalobrama amblycephala (Wuchang bream) is the source of this 369-nucleotide long non-coding RNA. RefSeq lists it as uncharacterized. The record is from RefSeq and is a predicted model, not a curated record. The transcript has 4 exons. Lineage: Eukaryota; Metazoa; Chordata; Actinopteri; Cypriniformes; Xenocyprididae.
AUUAAUUCUAACCAAUGAGACUGCUGGAACAGCAUCCAUGAACUGUCAUUCCGGAAUCGACUGGUACCGCAAACAGUUCAUUGGUUCUGCUCUUAUUUAUUGCCAUCUAGUCCUGUUUGCAGAAUUAACUGUGGCUCCAGCCAUUAAGCAGACCUGAACCAGUUGAUGAAGGUCUUCAGGAUCACCAGAAACUACAGGCAGGUGUGUGAGAAAGUUGGAGCUACAUACUGCAGGACGUUGGUCCUCCAUGACCAGGACUGGACACCACUGUUGUCUAAGCCAGCCACAGUGGAUACAGUGAAGCCACAAACACAGUUCAUAGUUCUUGUAUUUCUAUUACACAUUAAAUAAUAAAAAAUAUCAUGUUAA